AGGACUUGGUGGUGCUAAGGAAUGGAGUACUACAAGGACGGACGCCGCUUCCGUUGAACUCAGGUGAGCUUGCGAAUUCGCGAUGGCCUUGGUGAUUUUACUGUUACUGCUACUCUAUUAGUCAUGGAAUUCGGGAGAUCUUGGGUUCGAAUUUUAUUUUCUGGGAUUUUUAUCGGGGUGUAUGCAACUGUAUAACUGUAAAUUGGCUUGCCCCUGGGUGUUCUUGGUUGGUGAUUCGACAAUGAUUUGAAGCGGUCUGGCUUAUCAGCCGGUGGUUAGGUGGAGUCGGGUUAUUAUAGUUUCGGUAUAGGAGGGGGAAAGGUGGCACAAAUCUGGGGGCAGGGCAUGUUUCUGCCUGAUUGAUCCAAUCAUUUUUUUUCUUCUGGUAUCAAUCAAUCAUGCCAGCAUCUGAAACGGAUUAUCAAAUCUGAAUUGGCACUGUUUUUUAUAUAUAAUGAUACCAUACAGCUCGAGAUGAACAUAUGCUUGACUGAAUAGUUGUUCAUACAUCUGGAGGUGUUACUAUGAGUACAAUUACCAUUCAGAAAGAAAGAAACUAUGAGUAAAAUGCAGAGAACGCACUUCCAGACUAUCAAUCAUGCAUGCCCAUAUCAUUUGCUUUGCUUAAUGUUUCUUAGUUUAACUUACUAAUCUCUUGUCUGUGUAAUUUUUGCUGCCAGAAGGGAUCCAAAUAGGUUGCAACUGGGAGUAAAAUAUGUGUCUAAACUGAUUGUCUGGUGCGAAAAUCGACGACCAAGAUCCAGUUAUGUGUAUUGUAGGACAACACCUUUCAUUAGAUACACUUUGAUGCUAUUUCUAGCAUGAAUUUCUAUUUCAGACUUAGAACUAAAAUUCUGAACAACUAAAAUCGCUCUUGUUCCUUAUUUUUGUAGGGCGGUUCCUCUCGUUUUACUGGUUCGUCCGCUCCUUCAUGAUUGAUGUACUGGUUCUGGCCGCUCCUUCGUGAUAGACUCGGUUAACUCUUUGUUGGCCUUGUGGGUCGUAAUUGUUUCUCUCCAUAUGCAUAUACUUCCUGAUGUAUUGCUCAUGCUCAUUCUGUACCGAGAUAGACCUAAUAUCCGUAGGGUUGUAGAUUGAUUUCCCCUGAAAAAGCUAUGCUUCUUUCCUUGGAUGAUAAGCAUGUUCCGCAGCUAUGUGGAAUUCUUAAGAUAAACGGUCUUUAGUUUCUUUUGGUGCAUCUGCGUGCACAUAACAGUCUGUUAGUUUCUCAGUCUGUUAGUUUCUCUUUAUAUAAUGAAAAAAUAUAUGUUGUUGUCGCUUGUUUAUUAUUAUCUAUCAUUUGUAUAUUGAUUUUUAGGCCACCAGUACUUGUAUGUAUAAUUUCUAGUCUCUUGAAUGAAUAAUUUUUCUUUAUGUGCCAUGCGUCUUGUGUUACUACAUACAUCUGUCGUGAAGUACAUGGUUCUGGAACUAUGGUAACCCGUAGUUUGCUCUACCCGUGAUAGUAGGAUGAUGGAAGCAUCACUACUGAAUGUAGUUCAUGUUUCUUCAUAUAAUCAUCAUUUACUAGAGUUUCUCUUCUUCUUGCUACUACUUGGUUUUUGACGCCACUAGCUUGUACUGAAAUGUAAACACAUCAUAUUGUUCUCAUCAGACCAGUGUACCUUGAGCAUGCAAAGUAAACACAUGCUACUCCACUUGUCUAUUUUUACAUAAACUUUUGUUUAAAUAAACCGAGCUAAUAAACCAAACGGUGCAAACACAUUCAGUUCUGAAAUUUGUCUACUCCACUUGUUUGAUUGUACUGAAACCUUUGUUUGCAUGUUUCUAAAAUGCAGAGAAGAACACCCUGUGUUCUGGUAAAAUAUUUGUUUGCUAUGAUAUGAAAUUCCAUGAUGUGUGUGUUGUUUCAGUUUCUGUAGCUACAACAAAGUCCUAGUUUACUCUAUACUUGCUUUUGAUGAUUGCUGGCUAAAUUUACAGUUGAAAUAAUAGUAGCCAAGGAGUAGAUACAAGACGUAUUUACCAUAUUUUGCAUGGAAUGUUAAAAAUCAGUUUUGUUGUGGUUUCUUGUUCUGUGAGUCAAAUUGCAUAAGAUGGGAGUAUCACAACAUGCAUAUACUGAAGCUGGGAGUAUCACAACCUGAAUGUGCAGCUUAUGUAGUUUCUGUAUUUUUGUUAAAGCAUGGAGUAGCUUCUAUAGUUUCUGUAUUUUUGUUAAAGCAUGGAGUAGCUUCUAUAGUUUCUGUAUUUCUGUAUUUUCGUUAAAGCAUGGAGUAGCUUCUAUAGCUUCCUCACAAGUUAAUGCUUUGCUCGUCCGGGUGUGUGAUAAUGCCAUUUGUCUUGUGCAAUCAGAUUACAUUUCUGUUUGUUAUGGUAAUAUAAAAAAUAUUCGUGCUGUCAAAAUUUUCACAGUGCGUGUCUUUCAUUUCUUUAAUUUGAUUGUUUCCCUUGUAUUCAAUAUGCUUCUAGUGGCUGAUCCUUCCAUUUUUGUUGUGGCAUCUUUAUUUUCACAGGUGUUGUGUGUUCUGGAAGAUGGAAGAGGAAGAAAUUGUUGAACUAAAUUUUUUGUAUUCUGUUUUGUUGUAUGUAUCAUUUGAUAGUUUUGUAUAGGAACAAGUGAUACUAUUUUGUAGGGCUUUAUGGCCUAUGAUGUAAACAUAUUUAGUGCUGAAAUAUGAAAUUAUUUGCAAAAUUUGUCAAAAAGGUGGAUCAUAUGUAUGAAUAUGUGAAUGGGCUGAAAAGAGUAAUGGACCAACUCCAGGAUUGAAU
Molecule: long non-coding RNA, 2733 nt
Filed under: Triticum aestivum (bread wheat)
Lineage: Eukaryota; Viridiplantae; Streptophyta; Magnoliopsida; Poales; Poaceae
Description: long non-coding RNA (TAES_LNC027838)
Source: RNAcentral